Molecule: small nucleolar RNA, 127 nt
Organism: Danio rerio (zebrafish)
Lineage: Eukaryota; Metazoa; Chordata; Actinopteri; Cypriniformes; Danionidae
Gene: U8
Rfam family: U8 small nucleolar RNA
About the family: U8 is a member of the C/D class of snoRNA which contain the C (UGAUGA) and D (CUGA) box motifs. U8 is the RNA component of a small complex (the U8 snoRNP) which is required for accumulation of mature large subunit ribosomal RNAs, 5.8S and 28S rRNAs. U8 RNA has been identified in human, mouse, rat and Xenopus.
Source: Ensembl
ACAUCAGUGAGGUUUGUCCUACCUGUUGUUUUAGAAAUAAGACUUUAGCACAUGAUGAUUGGAUUCUAUGAAUAUGUGAUUAUAUUCUGUAUUCGUAUAGGGUUCACAACUCAGGAUCCUAUGUGAU